Molecule: ribosomal RNA, 486 nt
Filed under: uncultured bacterium
Lineage: Bacteria
Description: partial 16S ribosomal RNA
Rfam family: Bacterial small subunit ribosomal RNA
Source: RNAcentral
AUUGAACGCUGGCGGCAUGCCUUACACAUGCAAGUCGAACGGCAGCACGGGUGCUUGCACCUGGUGGCGAGUGGCGAACGGGUGAGUAAUACAUCGGAACAUGUCCUGUAGUGGGGGAUAGCCCGGCGAAAGCCGGAUUAAUACCGCAUACGAUCUACGGAUGAAAGCGGGGGACCUUCGGGCCUCGCGCUAUAGGGUUGGCCGAUGGCUGAUUAGCUAGUUGGUGGGGUAAAGGCCUACCAAGGCGACGAUCAGUAGCUGGUCUGAGAGGACGACCAGCCACACUGGGACUGAGACACGGCCCAGCCUCCUACGGGAGGCAGCAGUGGGGAAUUUUGGACAAUGGGCGAAAGCCUGAUCCAGCAAUGCCGCGUGUGUGAAGAAGGCCUUCGGGUUGUAAAGCACUUUUGUCCGGAAAGAAAUCCUUGGCCCUAAUACGGUCGGGGGAUGACGGUACCGGAAGAAUAAGCACCGGCUAACUACGUG